This 9174-nucleotide long non-coding RNA is filed under the name Ananas comosus (pineapple). RNAcentral describes it as "long non-coding RNA (ACOM_LNC015033)". The record is from RNAcentral. Lineage: Eukaryota; Viridiplantae; Streptophyta; Magnoliopsida; Poales; Bromeliaceae.
UAAUCACACGGACAGAGUCUCCCCUGUAUUUGCACGGCGUCGCACAAGUACAAUAAGUAAACUGAAUACAACCACAACUAAAUGAAUAUAGAAACAAUUAUACAAUCAUUCAUUCACCAUUCACAUCACAAUUAUACAUUCAAUGUUUAACAUAAAUCUACACCUAUCAGUUAAAAACGUUUUCAACCCAGAAACAGGUUUUGAAAUGCUAAGAUACAAAAUCCACAGAAAACCUUUUAAAAACUGUUCCCUACACGGGAACUUUUAUCUUUUAGAAACGCUACCACGAGGGGUAGAAAAUCAUUCAACAUUUGAAAUCCACAAAUCCUUUUUAUUACAUCAUAAAUCCAACUGAAAAUUCAGAUAUUCAACUACUAUAACAAAAACUGAACUAUAAUAUGUCUAAGUUAUUUAUUCAAGCAUGAAGGGUAAAGAAAUAACCGACACGGGACGGAGCUCUAUCGUACGCUAGAAAUGCUCCUCACCAGCUGUCCCACUUGGACCUGCGACGUCACCUGUAAUGGGGGCGGGGGGGUGAGAACAUGUAAACAUAUCUCCCUCUCCUUCCAGUGGGUACCGCAAGCCGACGAGGGCGAGGGGUACUCACUAGUCAGGAGAUAAACAAGGAUAUGAAUAAUGGUAAUACAGUAGCUAAGAUAAACAAGUAAUGAAAUGUGUAUAGAUAAACCACUACAGGUACUGUAUGCGUGCAUCAAAUCAGUCCAAAAGUACCCAAUAUGAAACCAAUGCUCUCUUGGUCCGCACCGCAAACCUCAAGCCAGUGCCACUACUACUCUACCAUGCAUAUAACCCCUCUAGGGCUCACGGAUUGACAACUGCAACCAUUUUUCCGGAAAAGAACACCCCUUGCGGUGGAUCAGACCGCCAGUGUUCGUGAAAUGCGACGAGUAUCGGGCGAUCAAUGCAAUAUGCUCAAUGAUCAACCGUCGGCAACUAGCCGACAAUCCUGCCCCCCAGGGCACACCAGCCAUAUGGGUCAUCAUGUAAUCAAAUCAACCAACCAGGUCACAAGUAUAGGAGAUGCAAUGUCCACAAGUAUAGGAGAUGCAACGUCGACCAACCAGGUCAUGGAGAUCACAUAGGAGAAUAGACCAACCAAAUCAUAGAUGCAAAUAGGAGAACCGACCAACCAGGUCACAGAUGCAAAUAGGAGAACCGACCGACCAGGUCACAAAUAUCAUAUACAGAUAAAGUUUACUAUACUCCUACACAUGAUACUACAUCUGGCAACAACUAAGUAGAGUAAAUAAGGAAAUAGCAUGGGUGUAAGGCUCAACAUGUAUAAGGUAAAUGAUAUACACAACAAGGGUAAAGGAAACGUCACCGAGCGUGCACCACUGUACCGACGUCGGAACGAAGUACCCACCUGUAUGUGUCUGACGAAAAUCUCUCGACUGUGAAGACGGUGCAACCGAACCUACGAAAGGUCCACCGGGUUAGAACCUAACCCACUAACACAUAUCGCUAACUCACAAUCCCACAAUCAUAGCCCUUCGGGAAUCGGUUUUCCAAAACCGAUUGCCGAACUCACCAGAAGUCACAAAAAAACUGCACCGGGACUCCGCCGGGACCCACGAACCGUCCCAAAACUACCCAACUCAUCAUAUGAGUUGCUCGCUGCCGCUAAACACCUAUUUUAGUGUGACAAGGCAGCAAAGACGCUAACUCGAUGCGGAACGAUUAUCGUCGGAUAAUCGUUUCGAUUCGGGUUCCCGGAAAUGUCUAUUUCGACACCGGAACCCGCCGUCGCUCACUCGUCGUUUCUGAACCCUCGAAACGACACGGGUGACAAGCCAACAAGGCUCAGCGACACUACAAUCAACCACGAGGCACUGUCGGAUGAAUUUCGAAUCGAAAACGCGUUCUAUCAGCGGAUUUCGCCGAAAAACGCUCCAGAAAUCACUUUUCGAUUUUCGCAAAAGCUUGGGGCCUUGGACGAUCAGUCCAGAGGUUAUCCUCAGCCUACCCUUGCUGCCAACAUCAUCUACAUCGAAGCAAAAACCCUAAAAGCCCUUACCGAUACGUGAAAUCACAUCAUUUUAUGUGAUUUCUAGGCUUUUCUGGACCGUGCACGCAAACCAGAGAUCGAUUCAGCAAACCGUCGCGCUCGCUGAUAGGUUUCAGCGUGCCAGAGGCCGUGCUCACCUUUCGGAGAACUGCCGGCCACUAUGGCACGCGCACGAGCGACACGAAACUCAGUGAAACAGCGCGCACAGCGCUAAGAUUGCCAUUAAUGCACAAUCCAGGGCAUCUCUGUCCCUGUUGGAGGUGAGCAAGAUGUUCAGCACGUGUUGUAGAUCAUCGUGCUCACUUCCCUAGGUCUAGAAGGCUUAACGGAUCACCGAAAAGGUGACCGAAAUCUCAGACUUUAGUGCUGGAACAUAAAACAGCCUUACCAGAACCGGGGAGAGCUAGGGUUGGUCGCCGACGGUCGGACGGCGGGCGGUCCAGCUAGGGGAGGGCGCGGCCGGUAGGUGAGUUCCGGGGCACUCGUUGGCCGGUGGCUGGAGGCGGCCGGUGGCGCGGCGGCGGAGAUCAACUCCCUAAGGCUGCUCACGGGUUCAAGGGCGCCGACAGCAAGGCGGCGGCCGAAGGAGCUUGGGGCGGCGACGAUUCGACGCCGGAGGCCGAGGGAGAGGCGGUGCACCCUUCGUUGGACGGCGGCGGCGCUUGGAAGUCGAGCGGACUCGACCUCGGUCCGCACCAACCCAGGACGGCCGCAAGCUGCACAAGCGGCGGCCGGCGGUCCACGGGGAUGGCCGGGAUGGCGAGCAGGAGGUCGCCGGAGGUGCGGGGAUAGCGCUGGGGAUGGGCCUGUGCCAGGGGAUGUUGAAGCUCGGGCUUUGAUGCCUUCCCGAGCACAACAGCUGAGCUGGUGGCGAGGUGGGUCUAACGAGGAGUUGAGGGGAGGCCGGGGUGGCUUUUCCGGCGGCCGGAGCUGCUCGUCGGCGGUCCCGAUGUGCGAAUUGGCAGGGCAUGGUGUAGGUAGGGCAGCUAGGGUUAGCUAGGUGAACGUGGGCAGCCAAAGAACCAUGAAAAACCCUAGAUGUUACUUUUAUACAAGGUGUCAUUUUGCGAGGAACCCCUUCAAAGUCAAAUAAUUAUAAUCCUGCCCCUGCCCGCAUGUGUAACUUGCAUGCCAGCCCAUCAACAUUCGAAAUCUCGUGAAACAGCGCAUAAAAUAUAGGGUCUUUUCGCGAUUAAUCGAUUUUGCCAAAUUGACCUCUCAGCGGACUUUUCACAAUUUCCGAAGAUCCGCCCGUCGGAUUUCCGAACGGAUUGCGCCAGCGCGUUCAGAAUGACUGGGGCAUCGAAUCUAGCAUCUUACUUUGUCCGAUUUGGUUUUCGAUUUGCGUCAAAACCAUCCCUCUUUUGUUUUCACUAUGUAGCCACUUAUAUUACUACACGUGAAACCAAUCAAACCCCUUUUUUCUCGACAACCGUGCAUCAGAAUCCAAUUUCGUCAGUGCCAUUGGGUCCAGAAUGGUCGAACCGUUCGAAACGAGCUAUUGGAGCACUAUGAUCGGAGUCCAAUGUGCACCAGAACCGUCUUCUACUCACUGGCUUCGCCGGGAAGCCAGAGUUACUAUUCACUCUAAGUUAUCGGUUCAGGUUGCAUAACUUCUCCAUCUUAACUCGUUUUCACCUGAAAUUUGACAAGUGCUUAUGUAAUUAUAUUACACAUAAAAAUAUUGUCAACAAAGGGUUUAAUUUUUAUUACUAAAAAUCUCGGUUAUUACAUCAUUCCCCCCUUACAAGAAGUUUCGUCCCCGAAACUUAAAUCAAGGAUCCCCCGUGAAUAGCUGCGGAUAACUCUCCCGCAUAGAAGACUCAAGCUCCCAUGUAGCCUCGCGCUCCUCGUGAUUUGCCCACUGAACUUUUACAUACGGAAUGCUCCUGUUCCGUAAUUGCUUCACUUCACGUGCCAAAAUCCCCAAUGGAGCCUCAUCAUAGCUCAGAUCCUCCCGUAGCUGAAUAGAUGUCGGACUAAUGAUGUGAGACGGAUCUGGAAUGUAUUUCCGCAACAUGGACACAUGAAAGACAUUGUUCACCCGGGUGAGACUUGGAGGAAGAGCCAAUCUGUACGCUACCGGACCGAUGCGCUCCAGGAUCUCAAACGGUCCCACGAACCGCGGACUUAGCUUGUUCCGCAAACCGAACCGCUUGAUCCUCUUGGAUGGCGACACCUUGAGCAACACAUGCUCACCGACCUGAAACUCCAGGUCACGCCUCUGCUGAUCCGCGUAUCUCCUCUGUCGACUCUGUGCAGUCAGAAGCCGCUCUCUCGCAAUGCGGAUCUUCGCCAACGCAUCCUCCACUAAGUCUGGCCCGAUCAACCGACGUUCUCCGACGUCGUCCCAACAGAUAGGAGACCGACAUCGACGCCCAUAUAAAGCCUCGUACGGUGCCAUCCCGAUGCUCGCCUGGUAGCUGUUAUUAUAGGAGAACUCCACCAACGGUAGAUAUCGGAACCAUCCAUCACCGUAAUCCAGGAUACAUGCGCGGAGCAUGUCCUCAAGAGUCUGGAUGACUCGCUCUGACUGUCCGUCGCUCUGGGGAUGGAAUGCCGUACUGAAGUUCAACUUCAUACCCAUAACCUAUUGCAAGCUCCUCCAGAAGUGGGAAACAAAGCGAGUGUCCCGAUCAGACACAAUCGACACUGGCACACCAUGAAGCCGAACAAACUCGUCAAUGUAUAACUGUGCUAGUCGAUCACGGGACCACGUUGUAUGCAUCGGCAAGAAGUGAGCCAAUUUCGUCAGCCGAUCAACUAUAACCCAGAUCACAUCAUGGCCUCGCUGUGAUCGAGGCAAUCCGGUGACGAAAUCCAUAGUGAUCUGCUCCCACUUCCAUACGGGGAUCGGAAGUGGUUGCAGCUUUCCUGCUGGUCGCUAAUGCUUAGCUUUCACCUGCUGACAAAUCAAGCACCGAGCCACGUGCUGAGCCACAUCAAGCUUCAUCCCAGGCCACUAGAAAUUCUGCUUCAGGUCGCGGUACAUCUUGGUUCCUCCUGGGUGAACUGUGUAAGGGGAUCGGUGCGCCUCGGAUAGGAUGUCGUUCCUCAGCUCCGAGUCAUUGGGCACACACCAUCUGCCUUUAAAGCGCAGAGAUCCAUCAGUGUGGAUAUUGAAGUCCCCGUCCUUACCCUGCUCGACCUCCGCCCGCACUUUCUGUAAGUACGGGUCACUCUACUACCCAAGCAAAAUCCGCUCCGUCAAAGUAGGCUGUAUCACCAGAGUCAUCAAUUGGGCCGUGGCCCCGGUGGAAACAACCUUGAUCUCCAGACGGCGGAACUCCACGAGUCGAUCCUGGCUCGUGAUCAUAAUGGACAACGAAGCUGAAGGCUGUUUCCGGCUCAAGGCGUCCACCACCGCGUUCGCCUUUCCCGAAUGGUACUGGAUCGUGAGAUCGUAGUCCUUUAAGAGCUCGAGCCAACGUCUCUGCCUGAGGUUCAACUCCUUCUGUGUGAAAAGGUACUUCAGGCUCUGAUGAUCGGUGAAUACCUCGCAGUGUGCUCCAUAUAGAUAGUGCCUCCACAGCUUUAGGGCAAACAUUACCGCCGCGAGCUCUAGAUCGUGAGUCGGAUAGUUCUUUUCAUACGACUUUAGCUGUUGAGAUGCGUAAGCGAUGACCCGAUCCUGCUGCAUAAGCACGCACCCCAGACCGACCCAGGAGGCGUCACAAUAGACCACAAAAUCCUCACCAGGUCGCGGCAGAGUAAGAACGGGUGCGCGGGUCAAUCGAUCCUUCAGCUCAUCAAAGCUCUGCUGGCACUGCUCGGUCCACUGAAACCGUUCUCCUUUUCUGGUAAGCUUGUUUAGCGGUGCGGCGAUCUUGGAGAAGCCCUCAACGAAUCGCCGAUAAUAACCCGCCAAACCCAGAAAGCUCCGGACUUCAGUCACCGAAGUCGGUUCAGGCCACUCGACCACUGAGGCUAUCUUCUUUGGAUCCACCGUAAUGCCCGAUGGAGUCACAAUAUGCCCUAAGAAAGAUACCUCGCGGAGCCAGAACUCGUACUUCUUGAGCUUACCAUAUAGCUUGUGCUCUCGAAGUAUCUGCAGUACUCGUCGGAGAUGAUCCUUGUGCUCCUCAUCACUCCGCGAGUAAAUCAGGAUGUCGUCAAUGAAGACCACGACAAACUGAUCCAAGUAUGCCCGAAAGACCCUAUUCAUCAUAUCCAUGAAAGCUACCGGGGCAUUGGUGAGCCCAAACGGCAUCACCGUGAACUCGUAGUGGCCGUAUCGAGUUCUAAAGGCGGUCUUCGACACAUCCUCAUCCCGGAUCUUAAGCUGAUGGUACCCGGACUGUAGGUCGAUCUUCGAAUACACCGAUGAUCCAUGAAGCUGAUCGAAGAGAUCCUCAAUCCGGGGUAGUGGAUACUUGUUCUUCACAGUGACCUUAUUAAGCUCCCGGUAGUCGAUGCACAGUCGAAGACUACCAUCCUUCUUUUUGACAAAGAGGACUGGGGCACCCCCAAGGAGACACGCUAGGGCGGAUAAACCCUCUCUCCAGAAGAUCCUCAAGUUGAGCCUUCAACUCUUUCAGCUCAGCGAAGGCCAUGCGAUAGGGGGCCUUCGAGAUCGGUGCCGUGCCUGGAACUAGCUCGAUGAAGAAGUCGAUCUCCCGGUCCGGAGGCAUUCCCGGAAGCUCAUCUGGAAAGACAUCCGGGAAUUCCUGAACAACUAGAAUAUCCUCCAAUGGUGGUGCAGCUCGGUGGGUGACAUCUACUGAAGCCAGGUAGGCUACACAUCCCGCAUUCAUAAGCCUCUUUGCUCUAGCUGAAGAGAUAGACGCGGCAAAAUAGGAGCUCUUACAUGCUCGGUAUACGAAUACUUCUUCGCCGGGCCCGAUAAAUGUCACCGUCCUCCGCUCGCAGUCGAUGGUAGCGUGGUGCCUGGUAAACCAGUCCAUCCCAAUCACCACGUCGAACUUCUUCAUGGGAAGUACCACCAGGUUCGCCAGGAAGCUCCGAUUAUCCAAAAUGACAGGGUACGAUAGGAUGCACCGAUCAGCUAAUAGGUCACCUCCAGGCGUGUCAAUACGGAGCGGCACGUCUAGUGGACGCGAGGAAAUACCAUGCUCACAUGCAAAUGAAUGCGAAAUGAAUAAGUGCGAUGCUCCAUUAUCGAAUAUAGCUCUAGCACGAGUAAUGCAGAGGGUAACAAUACCUGCAAGGACGUCACCAUCAUUGUUGCCUUCGUGCGCGCCCCCUCGUUUUGGCGUGAGGAGGAGGGACGCCUAAACGAAGCAGCUGCGCUUGGAGCUCAACGGUUCUGUCGGGAUGCAGCUGGGGAGGAGGCAGCACUCUGAUUAGCCACAUUUCUCUUAGGGCAAUGUGCUUGCAGGUGGCCCGGCUGACCACAAUGGAAACAGUUGUCCCUCCUCUGCGGACAGUCGGUCACCCGGUGUGCUUGCCCACAAAUCACACGGGGUUGACCGCCCCGUCGCUGACUGCCGGAGGGUGCACUCUUCGCCGACUGCUGAGUGCGAGGAUGCUUCGGUGGCUUUUUGCUGAAAGAAGAGCCACUGCUAGACUUAGAAUGGGAACGCUUCCUGUCCCCUGAUCGCUAGGAUGCAUCGCGAUCAGCUCGCAUCUCCUCUGACUCGCUCUGCACUAUAAGAGCCCGGUCGAAAGACUCGUCGAAGGGUAUCAUGCCAUUGGACGCGACCAAGAGCCGAAUGUUGGGCCUCAGCCCCCUGAUAAAAAGCUUGGCCUUGUGGUACUCGUCCCGCACCGCGAAGGGAAUCAGCCCGACGAUGCAGCUGAAAUCUCGCUCGUACUCCGCCACAGUACGGUUACCCUGCUUAAGGCGCUCCAGCUCGCGCUCCAAGUUCUGCUUCGUACUGUCCUUGAAGUACUGCUCAUUUAGGAGUCUCCGAAACUCAUCCUAGGGUGGAUAGAUGCUUGAGAGCUUGUUCACGAAGUGGCGGAUCCACCAUGCAUACGCAUCCCUCUCAAGGCAAUGAGCGGCCAGAGGAACGCGAUCCUGCUCCUCAAUAUGGAGAUCGCGAAAUAGUUUCUCCAUGUGGGUGGCCCAGUGCUCGAUCACCCAUGCAUCGUCAUUCUUCCUAGCGAACUUAGGCGGAUCGAACUUUCUAAACUGGACCAACUUCGCACGCAUGUGAUCGCCCUCCACUGCAGAGGUAUUAGCACCCCCAGCGAAAACCGUCGUGGUAGUCGUCGUCGUCGUCGUGCCAGUCGGAGCUGUAGCCGGUGGAGGUAUCAUCGAGUGUCCGCAGUAACUGGAGCCGGCUGUGUCGGAGGUGGAGCCGGGGGAGCAGCAGCUGCAGUCUGCUGCUGUAUAAACUACUGGAACAUCCCCGAGAGGGCCGUCAGCUGACCCCUCAUCGCUGCUACCUCGGCCUCAAGCUGCUAGGUACGCGCAUCACCCAACUGCUCGGGGCCGACCUGCUUCCCUCCACCCCUGCCCCUCGGGACACGCCCUCCAGGACUGUUCGAUGCCCCCUCAGUGGCGCAUCCACCGCCACGACCCCGACGAGGAGGUCUACCAGGACCACGAGCCAUCUGCAACAGAAAACACCGUCAGCCGAAUAAUCGACUUCGACUACUACCAACCAGGACUCGAGCCCAAACCCCGCACUCACAUGCUUAUACAUCGUAGGUCUUCCUAAAGGUCAACCUAACCAAUGGUUCAGUUUAUUUUUAUUUUCAAAAUAACCUGUGAAUGGUGUUGUGGUUGUAACUUGGCUCUGAUACCACUUUAAUCUGUAACGCCCCGGGGUCCAUUUUUGUUUGAAAACACAGCGGAAAUAGCUAAAUUUUUUUUUUUUUUUAAAGACCUGACUCUAGGGUAUGCCAGAUCCGCCACAAAUACAGAGAGUUCACAGAUCACACGGACAGAGUCUCCCCUAUAUUUGCACGGUGUCGCACAAGUACAACAAGUAAACUGGAUACAACCACAACUAAAUGAACAUAGAAACAACUAUACAAUCAUUCAUUCACUAUUCACAUCACAAUUAUACAUUCAAUAUUUAACAUAAAUCUACAUCUAUCAGUUAAAAACGUUUUCAACCCAGAAACAGGUUUUGAAAUACUAAGAUACAAAAUCCACAGAAAACCUUCUAAAAACUCUUCCCUACACUGAAACUUUUAUCUUUUAGAAACGCUACCACGAGGGGUAGAAAACCAUU